UACGUAGGGUGCAAGCGUUAAUCGGAAUUACUGGGUGUAAAGCGUGCGCAGGCGGUUUUGUAAGUCUGUCGUGAAAGCCCCGGGCUCAACCUGGGAAUUGCGAUGGAGACUGCAAGGCUUGAAUCUGGCAGAGGGGGGUAGAAUUCCACGUGUAGCAGUGAAAUGCGUAGAGAUGUGGAGGAACACCGAUGGCGAAGGCAGCCCCCUGGGUCAAGAUUCAAGUUCAUGCACGAAAGCGU
This 239-nucleotide ribosomal RNA is filed under the name uncultured bacterium. Its description in RNAcentral is "partial 16S ribosomal RNA". It matches the Rfam family "Bacterial small subunit ribosomal RNA", at positions 524 to 762 of the family's 1533-position model. The record is from RNAcentral.